AUUGAACGCUGGCGGCAGGCCUAACACAUGCAAGUCGAGCGGAUGAAGGGAGCUUGCUCCUGGAUUCAGCGGCGGACGGGUGGGUAAUGCCUAGGAAUCUGCCUGGUAGUGGGGGAUAACGUCCGGAAACGGGCGCUAAUACCGCAUACGUCCUGAGGGAGAAAGUGGGGGAUCUUCGGACCUCACGCUAUCAGAUGAGCCUAGGUCGGAUUAGCUAGUUGGUGGGGUAAAGGCCUACCAAGGCGACGAUCCGUAACUGGUCUGAGAGGAUGAUCAGUCACACUGGAACUGAGACACGGUCCAGACUCCUACGGGAGGCAGCAGUGGGGAAUAUUGGACAAUGGGCGAAAGCCUGAUCCAGCCAUGCCGCGUGUGUGAAGAAGGUCUUCGGAUUGUAAAGCACUUUAAGUUGGGAGGAAGGGCAGUAAGUUAAUACCUUGCUGUUU
Molecule: ribosomal RNA, 446 nt
Filed under: Pseudomonas aeruginosa
Lineage: Bacteria; Pseudomonadati; Pseudomonadota; Gammaproteobacteria; Pseudomonadales; Pseudomonadaceae
Description: bacterial SSU rRNA
Rfam family: Bacterial small subunit ribosomal RNA
Source: RNAcentral